GAGCUGCCAAAUGAAGGGCUGU
This 22-nucleotide microRNA is filed under the name Haliotis rufescens (red abalone). Its description in RNAcentral is "Hru-Mir-22-P2_3p (mature (guide))". The record is from RNAcentral. RNAcentral also lists the same sequence under 11 other names. Lineage: Eukaryota; Metazoa; Mollusca; Gastropoda; Lepetellida; Haliotidae.